Ribosomal RNA from Fusarium verticillioides 7600, 2708 nucleotides. It matches the Rfam family "Bacterial large subunit ribosomal RNA". Lineage: Eukaryota; Fungi; Ascomycota; Sordariomycetes; Hypocreales; Nectriaceae. The record is from Rfam.
AUAUAAGCAAGUAUGUGCUAUUUAUAGCGCUAGCCUACAAACCUAUAAUUAUAUUAACUCUAAGAGAAAUUUAAUAAUAAACGAAGUGAAUUGAAAUAUCUUAGUAACUUUAGGAAAAGAAAUCAAAAGAGAUUCUAUGAUUAGCGUGAGCUAAAAUAGACUAGCCUAAAAAGUCAAAUGGUGGAUAAACUGUUUAAAUUAAAUGGGGAACCUUCCUCAAAGGCUAAAUAUAAUAUAUAAGCGAUAGUGGAAAGUACCGUGAGGGAACCAAAACAAAAACAGUGAUUUUAUAAGCAGUUCGGGAAAAUAAAAAAAGUUAGAACGUACCUUUUGCAUAAUGGGUCACCAAGUUAACAUUAGAUGCGAGUAGGAGGGAGCUUUAUAAAAAAAAAAUAUAUAUUUUUUUUUUAUAGCCCCGUGCAUACGUAGUUAAACCGAGCGUUAAAAUAACGGUAAGUAUCUAAAGUUAGACCCGAAGCCUGGUGAUUUUACCAUAAUCAGGAUUAUAAAAGUCCGAACGGAAUAUUGUAGCAUAAAUAUCCGAAGAAUUAUGGUAGGUGUAGUGAAAGACAAUACUGACCAGGAUAGCUGGUUUUCUGCGAAACCUAUAACAGUAGGCAAUUUAAGUAUAAUAUCUUAGCAGGUACAGAAUUUAAUCUCAGACAAGACAUAAGGCUUAGCUUGCUAGCAAGUAAAGCUCAUGUUUUAUUUUGUACAAAUUGGGGGAUCAUGAAGAUUUUAUCAGUGAGUAUGUAGACUCGGAAUGGCAAAGAUAUAUCUUAAAUCAUCAGACAUAGAAUGAUAAGGUUGUAUGUCAAAAGGGAAACAGCCCAGAACAAGAGUUAAGGUUCCUAAAUUAUUAGUUGAGUGAAAUUAAGAAGGUUUUUAUUAAAGUCGACAAGGAGAUAGGCUUAGAAGCAGCCAUAAUUUUAUGACCUCGUAACAGAGCGCUUGUUAAGUUUUAAAAGCAUCGAAAAUUUAUCGGAUCUAAACAAUAUACCGAAACCUUGUCCAUAUUAUUUUAUAAUUAAAGCUUAAUUAUAAUUAAAUGGGGUAGCAGAACGUUGAGCUAAAUUAAGAUUUUUAUUUUUUAAAUGAAAUUAUAAUAAUUUAACUCAAGUGAUAAUGGUGACAUGAGUAACUAAAAGAAAAAAUAAAAUUUUUCCGCCUAAAGCUUAUGGAUGUAAUUAAGUAACGGCCUCUAAGUUUAUAUUAUCUAAAGAUUUAAACGAUGAGAUAAUCUUUUGUACUAAGGACGACAUUUUAAGUGAAAAAUGUACUGGAAAAAUAGUACUAAAUUAAUGGCUAUAGCUAAUUAGGGCUAUAGCUAUAAAUGAAAAGUAACCGUACCUAGAAUCUGAAACAAGUAAGCUAGUAGAGAAUACGAAGGCGUAAAUGAGCUAACAAUCAUAAAGGAACUCGGCAAAUUGACUACCGUAACUUCGGGAUAAGGAGAGCUCAUUAUUCUUGAUUAAUAUCAGGUAAAGAGGAAGAAGCAUGAAAUAGUGUUGUACGACUGUUUAAUUAAAACACAGCACUUUGCUGAAAGAUUAAAAAUCUAAGUAUAGAGUGUGAUGUCUGCCCGGUGCCGGCUGGUUAACAGAUAUAAUUAAAUAUACUAAUAUUUGAUGUAGACGGAAACCCCGGUUAAAGGCGGCCUUAACGUGAGGGUCCUAAGGUAGCGAAAUGCCUUGGCCGUUAAAUGCGGUCUUGCAUGAAUGAUGUAACGAUACAACAGCUGUCUCUAUGAUUGACUCAGUGAAAUUGGAAUAGCUGUGCAGAUACAGUUUACCUCUAGUUAGACGAGAAGACCCUAUGCAGCUUUACUGUCACUAAUUAUAGAGUAUGAUAAACAAUUUUCAGAUUAUAAGGUAAUUGACGGCUAGCUUGUUCAGCAAGCUAGCUCUAUGACAAUGAGAAUCCUUUAUUUUUUUUUCAUAUGAAUGAAUUGGUUUAGGAUUAUGAGUAGGUAGCUGCUUCAGCUACUUGGCGCAAGCAUUGCUUGCGUCAGGUGUCUGAAGUAUGCAUUCCAGCUCAUGUAUAGUAAAUCAACCUAAUUCAGCUUAUUUUCCUUUCUGCCAUAAGCGCAUAAUGAUAGAUUUAACUUAAAUUUUGAUUUAUGCCGAGCCCCUUCGGGGCUACUGCAGAAAUAGAUAAGUACCCUUGGCUAAGGAACUAUCGCUAGGGGACAGUUUAUGUGGGGCACAGACCCUGUAAAGAGUAAACAGGAGUGUCUAAUAAUUUAUAAUUAUUUUGUUUGCGAUUUAAGAUAGUGAAACUAUUUUUAAUCAUAUAAAAUUAUUUAUAUGUACAUUCGUUGUAUAUAUAUUUAAAAAAAGGUAGGAUUUUCACUAUAUAGAAAUUAGAGAUAAUAAAAAUAUUAAGAAUAUACGUUUCAGGCUGGGGCGAGCUUGCGCCUAAAAAAAUGUAUUUUUUUUUUUUCGGUAGCUCCUCCUACUGAAAGGUAGCACUAAUAUUUUUUAGCUAUUAAGACAAGCUAUCAAGCUAGGCUCUAAUAGUUAUGUAUUAAUUAUCUAAAAAGCUCAACGGCUAAAUCUUGCCUUACUGUUUGAUUAUCAACAAAUCUUACAGUUGCGUAAGCAGGGCAUAGGAUCACAAGAUGCAACAAGGAAAGAUCUUGGAUUAUUGGAAAAGCUACGCUAGGGAUGUUUGUCCUUUAAUAUUUUAUUACACAGCGGCUUUAGUUA